Molecule: long non-coding RNA, 1517 nt
Organism: Ostrea edulis (European flat oyster)
Lineage: Eukaryota; Metazoa; Mollusca; Bivalvia; Ostreida; Ostreidae
Exons: 2
Source: RefSeq, a predicted model, not a curated record
AUAAGAUUAGAGAAAGUCAGAAAUGCCUACAUAUACUGAUUAGAUGAUGAUGAUCUUCUCAGAUACCAUCUUACCGAUUUAUAAAAGCAAAGAGGAGACAAGUAAUCCACAGAACUAUAGACCUAUCACCAUUUUUAAAUGUUGUGUUGGUAAACGUUUACAUCUACACUGAACGAUAUAUAUUUACUUUUUUUUUGUCAGACGGAUACGAAGUGCUGCACGUAAACUACAGAGGUUUGCGCUCCAUUUAUUUCGUACUUGUAAAUGUAUGUAAGGGAUACAAGACGAAGAUGGUCUAUUAUGUCAGAUACGGGACUGGCACGAGCCGCGUAGCGGCGAGUGAUCAGUCCCGUAUCUGACACAAUAGACCAUCGAGUCUUGUAUCUUACUUAAAACAUUGUUCUAUCUAAAAACAAAUGCAUUUAAACGCACACAAAAAAACCCACGUACAAAUAAUCAUUGGUAUAGACAGAUAUAUUUACACCUUUCGUUUCUGAUUUGUUUUUAAUAAUUUUGAUAUAUUAGGAAUUCAUAAACUUUAAUGGCACACAAGGUCAAAUCUUGUCUUUAAUUCACAAAAAACUGUUAGCUCAUCAUUUCAAUUGUCAUAAUAUGGUACUCCUCAAAACAGGGUUUUGUUCUUCAUGGAAAGCGAUUCGAACGCUUCUAUUGUCUGAAGACUGUACUCAACAAAACUGGUUUUCUUUUUUGGGUGAAUGAAGCUACGUAAAGGGUGUUCGGAAAGAAUCUUUUAGAAAAAACAAAACAUUGGUUUCCCACAUUCCUUUCUGGGAACCCUGAUAUGAUACUGACACGUAGGCCUAUAACUGGUAUAAAAACAGAAGCCGCAACCCCCUUUUAGCAUUUAGUCCGGGUGCCUUGAAGAAAUGGAUUCAGAUGAUUGAAAAGUACAUGAGUUUGCGCCCCAGAAGUGGAAAAUGCAAUGCAUUUUAUCUCAGAUCAAAAAUCGCUCCUAAUGGGAAUGUAUGGUACGACGUCCCAGUCGGGGUACAUCAACUGCAAUAGAUUGUGGCCAAAAUGUUAAAGAGGCAGGAUUACAAAUCUCUCUUCGGGCUACUGCCGCUACACGCCUAUAUGCUGCGGGUGUUGACGAGCAAUUUAUAGCGGAAAAAAGUGGUUACAUGUCAUCUGUGAUUCGCAACUACAAACGCACCUCCGAGGAACAAUUACAGAGUGUAAGUGAUUUGAUUCAGAAACCGCCCAGUGUCCCCGCCGGAGCCGAAGAAAGUGAAGCUCAAUGAAAGUGUUUCCUAUGGAUCAGAAAAGGAAAUAAACAUCACUGCCGGGGAUGUAACAGUGAAUUUGCGAUUUUAAUGUGCAUGUGUUUAAAUGAAUGAUUGUGACAUGGAUUUAUAACUGUGGUGCCUGAACGAUUUCAUACACGGUAAAAUCGGAUUAUACAUGAAACACUCAUUUCGUAUAAUUUACUGGAAUAUUUCACGCCUUGAAUAUUGUAUUUGAUGUAUAAUAAAUGUUUUCUCGUACAACGAAGGGUG